UCGUGAAGGUGAGCAGACCACAAAAAGAACGUCCCAGUUCGGAUUACAGCCUGCAACCCGGCUGUAUGAAGCUGGAAUCGCUAGUAAUCGCAAAUCAGAAUGUUGCGGUGAAUACGUUCCCGGGUCUUGUACACACCGCCCGUCACACCAUGGGAGCCAGGAAUGCCCGAAGCCAGUGGCCUAACCGCGAGGGAGGAGCUGUCGAAGGCAGGCCCGGUAACUGGGGUGAAGUCGUAACAAGGUAGC
RNAcentral lists this ribosomal RNA (246 nucleotides) under uncultured bacterium. Its description in RNAcentral is "partial 16S ribosomal RNA". It matches the Rfam family "Bacterial small subunit ribosomal RNA", at positions 1255 to 1500 of the family's 1533-position model. The record is from RNAcentral.